Molecule: ribosomal RNA, 515 nt
Filed under: uncultured bacterium
Lineage: Bacteria
Description: partial 16S ribosomal RNA
Rfam family: Bacterial small subunit ribosomal RNA
Source: RNAcentral
GAUGAACGCUGGCGGCGUGCCUAAUACAUGCAAGUCGAGCGAAUGGAUUAAGAGCUUGCUCUUAUGAAGUUAGCGGCGGACGGGUGAGUAACACGUGGGUAACCUGCCCAUAAGACUGGGAUAACUCCGGGAAACCGGGGCUAAUACCGGAUAACAUUUUGAACCGCAUGGUUCGAAAUUGAAAGGCGGCUUCGGCUGUCACUUAUGGAUGGACCCGCGUCGCAUUAGCUAGUUGGUGAGGUAACGGCUCACUAAGGCAACGAUGCGUAGCCGACGUGGGAGGGUGAUCGGCCACACUGGGACUGGGACACGGCCCGGACUCCUACGGGAGGCAGCAGUAGGGAAUCUUCCGCAAUGGACGAAAGUCUGACGGAGCAACGCCGCGUGAGUGAUGAAGGCUUUCGGGUCGUAAAACUCUGUUGUUAGGGAAGAACAAGUGCUAGUUGAAUAAGCUGGCACCUUGACGGUACCUAACCAGAAAGCCACGGCUAACUACGUGCCAGCCGCCGCAGUAA